Molecule: transfer RNA, 71 nt
Filed under: Loxodonta africana (African savanna elephant)
Lineage: Eukaryota; Metazoa; Chordata; Mammalia; Proboscidea; Elephantidae
Rfam family: tRNA
About the family: Transfer RNA (tRNA) molecules are approximately 80 nucleotides in length. Their secondary structure includes four short double-helical elements and three loops (D, anti-codon, and T loops).
Source: Rfam by way of RNAcentral
ACAUUGGUGGUUCAGUGGUAGAAUUCUCACUUUCCACCUGGGAGACCCGGCUUCAAUUCCCGGCCAGUGCA